AUACGGAGGGUGCGAGCGUUAAUCGGAAUUACUGGGCGUAAAGCGCGCGUAGGCGGCUUUGUCAGUCGGAUGUGAAAGCCCUGGGCUUAACCUGGGAAUGGCAUUCGAUACUGCAGAGCUAGAGUAUGGUAGAGGGAAGUGGAAUUUCCGGUGUAGCGGUGAAAUGCGUAGAUAUCGGAAGGAACACCAGUGGCGAAGGCGACUUCCUGGGCCAAUACUGACGCUGAGGUGCGAAAGCGUGGGGAGCAAACAGGAUUAGAAACCCCAGUAGUCC
Molecule: ribosomal RNA, 274 nt
Filed under: uncultured bacterium
Lineage: Bacteria
Description: partial 16S ribosomal RNA
Rfam family: Bacterial small subunit ribosomal RNA
Source: RNAcentral